UCCUACGGGGGGCAGCAGUCGGGAAUAUUGGACAAUGGGCGCAAGCCUGAUCCAGCAAUACCGCGUGUGUGAAGAAGGCCUGCGGGUUGUAAAGCACUUUCAGUGGGGAAGAUAAUGACGUUACCCACAGAAGAAGCACCGGCUAACUCCGUGCCAGCAGCCGCGGUAAUACGGAGGGUGCAAGCGUUAAUCGGAAUUACUGGGCGUAAAGCGCACGUAGGCGGCCUUUUAAGUCAGAUGUGAAAUCCCCGGGCUUAACCUGGGAACUGCACCUGAUACUGGGAGGCUAGAAUGUGGGAGAGGAGAGUGGAAUUUCCGGUGUAGCGGUGAAAUGCAUAGAGAUCGGAAGGAACAUCAGUGGCGAAGGCGGCUCUCUGGACCAACAUUGACGCUGAGGUGCGAAAGCGUGGGUAGCAAACAGGAUUAGAUACCCCUGUAGUCCAA
RNAcentral lists this ribosomal RNA (444 nucleotides) under uncultured Thiothrix sp. RNAcentral's name for it is "bacterial SSU rRNA". It matches the Rfam family "Bacterial small subunit ribosomal RNA", at positions 337 to 798 of the family's 1533-position model. The record is from RNAcentral. Lineage: Bacteria; Pseudomonadati; Pseudomonadota; Gammaproteobacteria; Thiotrichales; Thiotrichaceae.